AAUUUCCGCUGACCGGUUUAAAUCGGCUAGCAAAGUGUGGAGGACGAAAUGCUGACGGUGAACGAGGAGGAUUCUCCAUCCCAUUGGUAUCAUACCCUCCGGUCGGUUUGUCUUCAUCCGUGCAUACAAUUCAGAGUGGAAGCUUUAUUUUAUGAAAAAAGAGAGAUGCCAUGAUUUCUAUGCCAAAAUCUAUAUGAGAGAGAGAGAGAGAAAAGCGGGGAAA
This 223-nucleotide long non-coding RNA is filed under the name Elaeis guineensis (African oil palm). Its description in RNAcentral is "long non-coding RNA (EGUI_LNC018410)". The record is from RNAcentral. Lineage: Eukaryota; Viridiplantae; Streptophyta; Magnoliopsida; Arecales; Arecaceae.